UCCUCCUGCAUAUGACGGACACAGCACUGAUCCUGGCAGCUCCUUACCCCCAGCAACCCGAAACUCACGCCUUAAUUACACAAGGGAAACCUUUUAACUCUGCAGCCAAAGUCUGGGGGUAAAGGCAGGCGCGGGAAGAUGGGUUCUCUACCUGGCCAGUACCAUGUUGCCUGUUUCUUUUCUGUACAUGUGGUGACAAAGAAAAGGGAAGAUGAGCCUCCAUGUUGAACAUACCUGGCCCCCAGCACUAACUCCCUCUCUGGGUAUGUGGAACAAGGACGACCUUAAACUUAACAAUAGAACCAAUGAUGGUCUACCGGUCUCCCCAAAGCCCCAAGUUUAAAAGCCAUAUGAACUGGCUGAUAGUGGAAAAUGGAAGCCCAUGAGUUGCCUGGUGCCCCACUAUAUGAAGUUGCCAAGAUCCCCUAAAAACAAAAGUGACAAAGGCACUACCGUUCUUAACAUCAUACCCAAGAGGAUGAGUCUGUGCCACUGGGUUCAGAGAGCAUCCACCAGAAAUCCAGCAGACAAGGAUCACCUAGAAUAGUAGUGCUUAAACUCACUCACGACAGGUAGUGAAACACAUGUAACACCUCCUGCUGCAACAAAGAAGAGGGAGGUGUUACAGUCAGCAAAUGCUUCACCUUGGAAUUUUCACACACUCUGUAUCUUGGGUCAUCCAAAAGGCUGCAUACUUUCAAUAGGAUUGAGAGGAGCCUCGGUGACUAACCCUGGCAAGAAGCCACAGUAUGGUCAAUUCUAGCCUUUGGGUCCUAUGAUUCAGAAAGAAAAAUGAGACCAUGGAGUCUCUGUGAUUUCUACCUCUUCCACCAAGAUGAUUUGUCAAGGAGGGAGGGGGGCAGAUCCUAUAAGGGAAAAUAUAGCAUAAGUAUUUAGGAUAUUUGACUAAGGAAUGCUUUUAGCAGCUGAGAAUUACACUGCUUUUGAAAAACAAUUGCUGGCUGAUUACUGGAGGGGAGUAACAGUGCUAGUGAAGAGACUCAACAGAGGUCGGUGAGUGGUUUUGUGAGUUGGAACCCUUUGUCUCACAUAGCAAUGUAACUUAACAGUCUUUGAUUAUUAAAUAGAAAAAUCAAAAUCUAAGAAAGGAUGAGAGAUAUCUAUGUGAGCUCAUUAUAAAAGACACGUCCCUGACCAGGACCCUCACUUUCAUUUGCCUGGAAAAACUGAUGCAUCCUCUGGGCACUAACCUUUAAAUCAAAAGUAACAAUGUGAGGCACAGAUAGAACCACUCAUUUAACAGGCAGUGGGCCUCAGUAGACAGGCACCACCUUCCACCCUUUGUCAUAGACAUCCUGUCUACGGAAGAGGUAAGGUUAUUCCACACAAUGAGGGAGCUCUGUGUCACUGGCAGUUACAAUAGUUAUAAGUUUGAGGCAUCAGGAAGUGAAUUUGUACUGACUCCAGAAAUUAAAAUAUCCAAAUGGAUGGAAGAUCUUGGAAUGGUAUAUUAUGACCAGUAGGCUUAGGGAUGCCUUUUAUAGCAAGAAUCAGGCACAUUAUUCACUCAAAUGACUAUUUUUGUAUCUCAUAUUUUAGUGUGUUGAAUAGUGUCUUAGUCCAUUUUCCGUUGCUAUAAACUGAAUACCAUGGGCUGGGUAAUUUAUAAAGAACAGAGAUUUAUUUAGCUCAUGGUUCUGGAGGCUGGGAAGUCUGACAGCUUGGUGCUGGCAUCUGGUGAAAGCCUUUUUGCUUCAUCAUAGCAUGGUGAAGGCAUCAUAUGGCGAGAGGACAGGAGUGUGCAUGUCAGCUCAGGCCUCUUCUUCUUAUAAAGCCACCAGUCCUAUUUUGGGAACCCCACCGUGUUGACUUUAUCUAAUCCUAAGUACCUCCCAAAGGCCUCACUUCCAAUCAACAUAUGAAUUUGGAGAUUAAGUUUCCACCACAUGAAAUUUGGUGGACACAUUUAAACAGUAGCAAAUAGUGUCCCCCCAAAAGAUAUGUCUAAGCUCUAACCCCUAGUACCUGUGAAUAUGACCUUUGCAGAUAUAACUAUAUCUUUGCAGAUAUAAUUAAGUUAAGGAUCUUGAGAUGAGAGCAUUCUAAAUCAAAUGCCUGGUGUACUUAUAAGUAGAGGAGAAGCCACAGAGACACAAAAAAGAUAAUACUAUGAAAAUGAAGGAAGAGAUUGGAGGGCAGCCACAAGCCAAGGAAUACCAAGGAUCAAAAACUAAGAGAGAGGCAUAGAGUGGAUUCUCCCUCAGAACCUUCCAGAGUGAAUGGCUCUACCAUACUGAUAUUGUACUUCUGCCUUCUUGGGCUUUGACAAAAUACACUUCUGUUGUUUUAAACCAUUUAAUUUGUGGUAACUUGUUAUGGCAGACCGAGAAAACUAGAACAUAUAUAGACACCUACCAAAAAGAUUAGGGAUAGAAAAAACAAUUUAAAAGCAAGUAAAUCCAUCAAUAUGUAAUGGAUGUUUGUUUUGGCCAAGGCACACUGGGUGCAUCAGAGCACUAGACACCUGAGAUGAGAACUAGGUUGGCUGAAGUUCACAUUUUGAAGUAUGUAAUUACUGCUGGAGCCAAUUGUCAAGAUGUAGGAGUUUGGGCUCCUUCAGCAAAAAUGCCCUGGGACAUUCCAAGACACUAAAAAAAAAAAAAAAAAAAAA
Long non-coding RNA from Cercocebus atys (sooty mangabey), 2632 nucleotides. RefSeq lists it as uncharacterized. The transcript is spliced from 4 exons. The record is from RefSeq and is a predicted model, not a curated record. Lineage: Eukaryota; Metazoa; Chordata; Mammalia; Primates; Cercopithecidae.